GUGGCAGCACAGGGGGCUGUCCUCCCUCCCCUCAGUCAUUGGACUAAUGAGCCCAGCAGGGUCCUGGGGUCCACCUGAUGUCUGAGUGCUUUGUGGGCUUGGUCCCAGCAGGAGGAGGGGGUCUCCCCAGCUGUCCCCUGGCCAG
Molecule: microRNA precursor, 145 nt
Organism: Equus asinus (donkey)
Lineage: Eukaryota; Metazoa; Chordata; Mammalia; Perissodactyla; Equidae
Source: Ensembl